ACGAACGCUGGCGGCGUGCUUAACACAUGCAAGUCGAACGGAAAGGCCCUGCUUUUGUGGGGUGCUCGAGUGGCGAACGGGUGAGUAACACGUGAGUAACCUGCCCUUGACUUUGGGAUAACUUCAGGAAACUGGGGCUAAUACCGGAUAGGAGCUCCUGCUGCAUGGUGGGGGUUGGAAAGUUUCGGCGGUUGGGGAUGGACUCGCGGCUUAUCAGCUUGUUGGUGGGGUAGUGGCUUACCAAGGCUUUGACGGGUAGCCGGCCUGAGAGGGUGACCGGCCACAUUGGGAAUGAGAUACGGCCCAGACUCCUACGGGAGGCAGCAGUGGGGAAUAUUGCACAAUGGGCGGAAGCCUGAUGCAGCAACGCCGCGUGCGGGAUGACGGCCUUCGGGUUGUAAACCGCUUUCGCCUGUGACGAAGCGUGAGUGACGGUAAUGGGUAAAGAAGCACCGGAUAACUACGUG
This 467-nucleotide ribosomal RNA is filed under the name uncultured bacterium. RNAcentral's name for it is "partial 16S ribosomal RNA". It matches the Rfam family "Bacterial small subunit ribosomal RNA", at positions 29 to 507 of the family's 1533-position model. The record is from RNAcentral.